ACGGUGGACUCUGUGGAUCAAGGACUCAUCACCCCACAGGCCUUUCUGCUACAGCUGCUGCUGGACAAACUCUUGGCCCCCACAACGGUGCAGGACGUGGCCCUCCUGGCUCUCGGACGUGCAGCCGCACUCCUCACACACGUACAGCUUGGCCCGCCGCUCCUUGUACGCGUACUUCUGCUGCACACCGUGGAUCUUCUUGAGAUGGGACUCUAGCGAGCAGCGCUGCGUGAAGGCCUUGUCGCACAGGCUGCAUUUGUAGGGCCGCACACCUGCGGGGAGGAGCGUGUGGGGGUCAGGGAGCUGACGGCAAGCCCGUGGGCCACUUCCCUGACAUAGAAAGGCCAGGCCACCUGACUCUGGGCGGGAGGAGCAGAGGAGGCCGGCUCCGUCUCCAGCUCCCUGAGGGACCGAACCCAUGAGCUACUGGGGGCUUCUGCCCUAAGUUCCAGGACACCCUCUCCCAGGCCGUGGAUCUCCCCUCCCCCGCCGGGCAGGAACUCCCAGGGGCUCUUCUCACCAGUGUGGGUGCGGACGUGCCUCUUCAGGUCGAACGUGUCAUUGAAGCCUUUCCCGCAGUAGGUGCACAGGUGCCUCUUGACGUCGUUGUGACACUUCAUGUGGCGGUUCAGCAUGCGCUGUAUCGGAAAGCCUGAGCGAAGCUCCUGGAAGUGGGAGCCCAGCCACAGCGCCCGCCCAGGCAGUGGCAGAGGGAGGAGUGACAGCAGGAUUCACCCUCCCCAGAACGACAAGGGCAAACGCUCACCUGUGCCCUCCAGGUUUAGACCCGGACCCAACCAUAUGGGCCCAUCCUGUCUCGAGAGAGGCCUGCACAGCUCCCUGCCCUGGACACCAGCAGCAGGUGGCCCAGACCACCCGGAAGCCCCCCUUGGCCAUCCCUGCAGGGACAGCACCCCCCACCACUCCCACAAGGGCCACCAGAACUCUGGUGGGGAAAGUCACCAGGAUGCAAGGAAGUCAAUGAUUUGAACAAACGGAAUUUCUUUGUCCUUUGUAAAAGUCAACACAUGAUCUGUUACUGAUUGGGAUGUGAAAUAAAACUAAAAAUAACAGCACACUGAGUCUCCCACAAGGCUCAGC
Lutra lutra (Eurasian river otter) is the source of this 1101-nucleotide long non-coding RNA. RefSeq lists it as uncharacterized. The transcript is spliced from 4 exons. The record is from RefSeq and is a predicted model, not a curated record. Lineage: Eukaryota; Metazoa; Chordata; Mammalia; Carnivora; Mustelidae.